Molecule: non-coding RNA, 252 nt
Organism: Vicia faba (fava bean)
Lineage: Eukaryota; Viridiplantae; Streptophyta; Magnoliopsida; Fabales; Fabaceae
Source: the annotation of a GenBank genome assembly
AUGGCUCUUAGGUGGGGAGUUGGAAUGGUCCGGUUGGUGGCCAUCAUUGACCACCUUGCUGUGGAGUGUAUGGAUUUGAUUUCUUCUUUUAGAGAGGCUGUUGUUAUGUUUAUUAGUAGAAAAUGUAAUUCUGAUGCUCACCGAUUAGUAGGCAUAGGAAAAAGACUUGGUUCAAGAACUUGGUUAGGGUGUAUCCCUGUGCUAGAUGAGGACCUGAAUUUGUACUCCCAUCCUACUUUUCUUUCUUCUUAA